UACAGAGGGUGCAAGCGUUGUUCGGAAUCAUUGGGCGUAAAGCGCCCGUAGGCGGCCUGUUAAGUCGGAUGUGAAAGCCCAGGGCUCAACUCUGGAAGUGCAUUCGAAACUGGCGGGCUUGAAUGUCGGAGAGGGUGGUGGAAUUCCGAGUGUAGAGGUGAAAUUCGUAGAUAUUCGGAGGAACACCAGUGGCGAAGGCGACCACCUGGACGAACAUUGACGCUGAGGUGCGAAAGCGUGGGGAGCAAACAGG
RNAcentral lists this ribosomal RNA (253 nucleotides) under uncultured bacterium. RNAcentral's name for it is "partial 16S ribosomal RNA". It matches the Rfam family "Bacterial small subunit ribosomal RNA", at positions 524 to 776 of the family's 1533-position model. The record is from RNAcentral.